GAUGAACGCUGGCGGCGUGCCUAAUACAUGCAAGUCGAGCGAACGGACGAGAAGCUUGCUUCUCUGAUGUUAGCGGCGGACGGGUGAGUAACACGUGGAUAACCUACCUAUAAGACUGGGAUAACUUCGGGAAACCGGAGCUAAUACCGGAUAAUAUUUUGAACCGCAUGGUUCAAAAGUGAAAGACGGUCUUGCUGUCACUUAUAGAUGGAUCCGCGCUGCAUUAGCUAGUUGGUAAGGUAACGGCUUACCAAGGCAACGAUGCAUAGCCGACCUGAGAGGGGGAUCGGCCAAAAGGGAAAGAGGAAAGGGCCCAGACCCCGAGGGGAGGAAGAAGGAGGGAACUUUCGGAAAGGGGGGAAAACCGGAGGGAGAAACGCGGGGGGAGGAAGGAAGGUUUUGGGAAGGAAAAACUUUGUUAUGAGGAAAGAAAAAAUGGGAAAGAAAAUGGGCAAAUUUGGAGGGUAACAAAUAAAAAAGCCACGGAUAAAUAAGG
RNAcentral lists this ribosomal RNA (496 nucleotides) under uncultured bacterium. RNAcentral's name for it is "partial 16S ribosomal RNA". It matches the Rfam family "Bacterial small subunit ribosomal RNA", at positions 28 to 506 of the family's 1533-position model. The record is from RNAcentral.